Molecule: ribosomal RNA, 500 nt
Filed under: uncultured Gammaproteobacteria bacterium
Lineage: Bacteria; Pseudomonadati; Pseudomonadota; Gammaproteobacteria
Description: bacterial SSU rRNA
Rfam family: Bacterial small subunit ribosomal RNA
Source: RNAcentral
GUUAAAACUCAAAUGAAUUGACGGGGGCCCGCACAAGCGGUGGAGCAUGUGGUUUAAUUCGAUGCAACGCGAAGAACCUUACCUACUCUUGACAUCCAGAGAACUUAGCAGAGAUGCUUUGGUGCCUUCGGGAACUCUGAGACAGGUGCUGCAUGGCUGUCGUCAGCUCGUGUUGUGAAAUGUUGGGUUAAGUCCCGCAACGAGCGCAACCCUUAUCCUUUGUUGCCAGCGGUUCGGCCGGGAACUCAAAGGAGACUGCCAGUGAUAAACUGGAGGAAGGUGGGGAUGACGUCAAGUCAUCAUGGCCCUUACGAGUAGGGCUACACACGUGCUACAAUGGCAUAUACAAAGAGAAGCGACCUCGCGAGAGCAAGCGGACCUCACAAAGUAUGUCGUAGUCCGGAUCGGAGUCUGCAACUCGACUCCGUGAAGUCGGAAUCGCUAGUAAUCGUAGAUCAGCAUUGCUGCGGUGAAUACGUUCCCGGGCCUUGUACACACCG